Molecule: ribosomal RNA, 483 nt
Filed under: uncultured bacterium
Lineage: Bacteria
Description: partial 16S ribosomal RNA
Rfam family: Bacterial small subunit ribosomal RNA
Source: RNAcentral
AUUGAACGCUGGCGGCAGGCCUAACACAUGCAAGUCGAGCGGAUGAAGGGAGCUUGCUCCUGGAUUCAGCGGCGGACGGGUGAGUAAUGCCUAGGAAUCUGCCUGGUAGUGGGGGAUAACGUCCGGAAACGGGCGCUAAUACCGCAUACGUCCUGAGGGAGAAAGUGGGGGAUCUUCGGACCUCACGCUAUCAGAUGAGCCUAGGUCGGAUUAGCUAGUUGGUGGGGUAAAGGCCUACCAAGGCGACGAUCCGUAACUGGUCUGGGAGGAUGAUCAGUCACACUGGAACUGAGACACGGUCCAGACUCCUACGGGAGGCAGCAGUGGGGAAUAUUGGACAAUGGGCGAAAGCCUGAUCCAGCCAUGCCGCGUGUGUGAAGAAGGUCUUCGGAUUGUAAAGCACUUUAAGUUGGGAGGAAGGGCAGUAAGUUAAUACCUUGCUGUUUUGACGUUACCAACAGAAUAAGCACCGGCUAACUUCGU